This 292-nucleotide small RNA is filed under the name Mucor lusitanicus CBS 277.49. RNAcentral describes it as "Mucor circinelloides f. lusitanicus CBS 277.49 5' ureB small RNA". It matches the Rfam family "5' ureB small RNA". The record is from Rfam by way of RNAcentral. Lineage: Eukaryota; Fungi; Mucoromycota; Mucoromycetes; Mucorales; Mucoraceae.
CGUAACACAUUUGAGGGCAAAUAUAAUGAACAUGAGAAUCAAUUGCACCAGCAGUGAAGAUCAAGCCCUCGCCAGCCAAUGCCUCCGUACCAGCGCCCACAAUCAUGCCAGGCGUGACAUUGUCCAUCAUGUCUGGGUUGCCCGAUUUGCCAAUACCCACAAUAAUGCCCUUUUUGAUACCAAUAUCAGCCUUGUAAAUGCCAGUGUAGUCAAAGAUCAUGGCGUUUGUAAUCACCAGAUCCAAAAUGUCCUUGUCGCAAGCAUCGGUUGCUUGGCCCAUGCCUUCUCUCAG